GAAUCCAUAGGUUAAUGAGGCGAACCGGGGGAACUGAAACAUCUAAGUACCCCGAGGAAAAGAAAUCAACCGAGAUUCCCCCAGUAGCGGCGAGCGAACGGGGAGCAGCCCAGAGCCUGAAUCAGUAUGUGUGUUAGUGGAAGCGUCUGGAAAGGCGCGCGAUACAGGGUGACAGCCCCGUACACAAAAAUGCACAUGCUGUGAGCUCGAUGAGUAGGGCGGGACACGUGGUAUCCUGUCUGAAUAUGGGGGGACCAUCCUCCAAGGCUAAAUACUCCUGACUGACCGAUAGUGAACCAGUACCGUGAGGGAAAGGCGAAAAGAACCCCGGCGAGGGGAGUGAAAAAGAACCUGAAACCGUGUACGUACAAGCAGUGGGAGCACGCUUAGGCGUGUGACUGCGUACCUUUUGUAUAAUGGGUCAGCGACUUAUAUUCUGUAGCAAGGUUAACCGAAUAGGGGAGCCGAAGGGAAACCGAGUCUUAACUGGGCGUUAAGUUGCAGGGUAUAGACCCGAAACCCGGUGAUCUAGCCAUGGGCAGGUUGAAGGUUGGGUAACACUAACUGGAGGACCGAACCGACUAAUGUUGAAAAAUUAGCGGAUGACUUGUGGCUGGGGGUGAAAGGCCAAUCAAACCGGGAGAUAGCUGGUUCUCCCCGAAAGCUAUUUAGGUAGCGCCUCGUGAAUUCAUCUCCGGGGGUAGAGCACUGUUUCGGCAAGGGGGUCAUCCCGACUUACCAACCCGAUGCAAACUGCGAAUACCGGAGAAUGUUAUCACGGGAGACACACGGCGGGUGCUAACGUCCGUCGUGAAGAGGGAAACAACCCAGACCGCCAGCUAAGGUCCCAAAGUCAUGGUUAAGUGGGAAACGAUGUGGGAAGGCCCAGACAGCCAGGAUGUUGGCUUAGAAGCAGCCAUCAUUUAAAGAAAGCGUAAUAGCUCACUGGUCGAGUCGGCCUGCGCGGAAGAUGUAACGGGGCUAAACCAUGCAC
RNAcentral lists this ribosomal RNA (994 nucleotides) under Escherichia coli. RNAcentral describes it as "partial 23S ribosomal RNA". It matches the Rfam family "Bacterial large subunit ribosomal RNA", at positions 160 to 1194 of the family's 2925-position model. Lineage: Bacteria; Pseudomonadati; Pseudomonadota; Gammaproteobacteria; Enterobacterales; Enterobacteriaceae. The record is from RNAcentral.